AACACUUGGGACCUGACCAGAUAACCCUAGAAUACUCCUUAGAUGUUAAGGUGGAAGAGAAAAACCGAGAAUAUUUAUGUUAAUAUUUGUUCAUCCAUCACACAUCUCUUGCAGACCAAGACAUUAAGGGUUGAUCAGGAAUUUAAGAAAUUGUUAUAUCAAGAGGAAACUAUCUUCACAUAAUUCCCACACAGAAAUUGCUCCUGGAGCCAAAUAAACUGGAGAAAAGACUAUUUG
Long non-coding RNA from Lutra lutra (Eurasian river otter), 237 nucleotides. RefSeq lists it as uncharacterized. NCBI's taxonomy places the organism in Eukaryota, Metazoa, Chordata, Mammalia, Carnivora, Mustelidae. The record is from RefSeq and is a predicted model, not a curated record. The transcript has 3 exons.